RNAcentral lists this transfer RNA (77 nucleotides) under Chloroflexota bacterium. RNAcentral describes it as "Chloroflexi bacterium tRNA-Pro". It matches the Rfam family "tRNA". Rfam says of the family: Transfer RNA (tRNA) molecules are approximately 80 nucleotides in length. Their secondary structure includes four short double-helical elements and three loops (D, anti-codon, and T loops). The record is from RNAcentral. Lineage: Bacteria; Bacillati; Chloroflexota.
CGGGGUGUGGCGCAGCUUGGUAGCGCGCCUGCUUUGGGAGCAGGAGGUCGGAGGUUCGAAUCCUCUCGCCCCGACCU